UUGAAGCAGCUAGAGAUAGCUGUGUCCUUCGGGACAAGGAGACAGGUGGUGCAUGGUUGUCGUCAGCUCGUGUCGUGAGAUGUUGGGUUAAGUCCCGCAACGAGCGCAACCCUCGACCUUAGUUGCCAGCAUUCAGUUGGGCACUCUAAGGUGACUGCCGGCUAAAAGUCGGAGGAAGUGGGGAUGACGUCAAAUCAUCAUGCCCCUUAUGACCUGGGCUACACACGUGCUACAAUGGGCGGUACAAAGGGUCGCGAACCCGCAGGGGGAGCCAAUCCCAAAAAAGCCGCUCUCAGUUCGGAUUGCAGGCUGCAACUCGCCUGCAUGAAGCCGGAAUCGCUAGUAAUCGCGGAUCAGCAUGCCGCGGUGAAUACGUUCCCGGGCCUU
RNAcentral lists this ribosomal RNA (387 nucleotides) under uncultured Anoxybacillus sp. Its description in RNAcentral is "bacterial SSU rRNA". It matches the Rfam family "Bacterial small subunit ribosomal RNA", at positions 991 to 1382 of the family's 1533-position model. The record is from RNAcentral. Lineage: Bacteria; Bacillati; Bacillota; Bacilli; Caryophanales; Anoxybacillaceae.